Molecule: long non-coding RNA, 1341 nt
Organism: Dunckerocampus dactyliophorus (ringed pipefish)
Lineage: Eukaryota; Metazoa; Chordata; Actinopteri; Syngnathiformes; Syngnathidae
Exons: 2
Source: RefSeq, a predicted model, not a curated record
ACGUAGGAAGGACUGACGUUCAACAAGAGAUUAUGCGCCAAACAUGAUACGACGACACGCACUGAGGAGAAAAGAAUCUUAUUCAACGUACCGUGUUUGAUAAGAAGGCAUCCAGGAAGGCAGCGUCGGUGUUUAAGUCAAUCCUCCGCCUUUAUUCCCCGGGUAUGACAGAAAGAGUGUGCGUGUGCGCGCGUGUGUAUGUGUGUGUGUUUUGCCGGUUAAAAUGAGAGAGGGAGCGGAGGAGGAGAGACAAAAAGAGGGAGGAACGCUGUGAAAUGGAGGGGAAAAGACAUGUAUCGUAAAAGCCAAACGACGCUCGCCUCAUUUUUAUGACGCGAUGUCCAUCCGUCCAUCAGCAAGUCCUCACGUGUUCAUCCGCGCCAGGUGCAGCUAUCCCUCCCGUCUGACAUCGAUAUUUACGAGCCGUCACAUUGUACUUGGUGCACAUGUGCAGACUGAUUCAGGAAGACGGCGGCAAAAAGAAGUUGUUGGCGCAGCGUGAAGGCAGAUGAAGCCGAGUUGCCCGAGUGGAGCGGAGCAGCUGAGGGGAAAGUGCAGUUUUUAUCAAAACUACCGAAGGUGUCCACCUUUUCCACAGUCCCAAGUCCAAACGUAGACACGCGCCAACAAGAGCCAGAAGCGCUGCUGUCAGCGUCAGCAGUUCUCGGGAUGAAGCUGAGCCUGCGCGUGAUGCUUUUCAUCACAAAGAUGUGAGUUUUAACGCAGUAAACGCUACUAAAUGUUGCUGAGUGUUCUUAUCAUUCACAGUAAAAGUGUUGAGAUGAUUCACUUGUUAGGCAAUAAUACCCCCCCAGGAGGAUUUUAAGGACUUUAUCUUGGUCAGGAGAUGGGAUAAGACCUUGUGUUGUCAGUGCAGUACCAGGCUGUGGAGGGCCUCAAUGACUGGGUUGGCCUUGGGCCCCCAAGUGACUAAGUACACCCCCGAUCACUGAUGAGUAAACAUUGGGGUUUUUUCCAAGCACUGAUCUGCUUCAGUAAACAAUACGAUCGUCCUCCCGAGAUGAUAAAGUGGGUCCAGCUAAGAUUUCCAGUGUUUUGAGAACGACUCCGAGGACAUCAGCAGCAUCCUGUCCCUCCCCCCCCCCGUGAUGCUUUUACAUUGCGAUCUGCUGACCCGGACACGGCUACUUCCUUCUUUCCACUUGUUCCACAAUCACAUGAACUUUCCUCUGGUGGUGGAAUGCACUAUGGGAAAAUGCGAUAUCUCUCCUUUUUUUGGGGGGGGGAAUGCAGCUGUAAAAUGACAGCAAAUGAGGACAAUAUGUUGUCAAAAUGAUUCAUGAUUUCUAUGAAGAAUUAAAAAAAAAAGUCUUCUACUGA